UACGGGGGGGGCAAGCGUUGUUCGGAAUUACUGGGCGUAAAGGGCUCGUAGGCGGCCAACUAAGUCAGACGUGAAAUCCCUCGGCUUAACCGGGGAACUGCAUCUGAUACUGGAUGGCUUGAGGUUGGGAGAGGGAUGCGGAAUUCCAGGUGUAGCGGUGAAAUGCGUAGAUAUCUGGAGGAACACCGGUGGCGAAGGCGGCAUCCUGGACCGGUAUUGACGCUGAUGCGCGAAAGCCAGGGGAGCAAACGGG
Molecule: ribosomal RNA, 253 nt
Filed under: uncultured bacterium
Lineage: Bacteria
Description: partial 16S ribosomal RNA
Rfam family: Bacterial small subunit ribosomal RNA
Source: RNAcentral